GACGAACGCUGGCGGCGUGCUUAACACAUGCAAGUCGAACGGAAAGGCCCUGCUUUUGUGGGGUGCUCGAGUGGCGAACGGGUGAGUAACACGUGAGUAACCUGCCCUUGACUUUGGGAUAACUUCAGGAAACUGGGGCUAAUACCGGAUAGGAGCUCCUGCUGCAUGGUGGGGGUUGGAAAGUUUCGGCGGUUGGGGAUGGACUCGCGGCUUAUCAGCUUGUUGGUGGGGUAGUGGCUUACCAAGGCUUUGACGGGUAGCCGGCCUGAGAGGGUGACCGGCCACAUUGGGACUGAGAUCCCGCCCAGCCUCCUACGGGAGGCAGCAGUGGGGAAUAUUGCACGAUGGGCGGACGCCUGAUGCAGCAUCGCCGCGUGCGGGAUGACGGCCUUCGGGUUGUAACCCGCUUUCGCCUGUGACGAAGCGUGAGUGACGGUAAUGGGUAAAGAAGCACCGGCUACCUACGUG
RNAcentral lists this ribosomal RNA (468 nucleotides) under uncultured bacterium. RNAcentral describes it as "partial 16S ribosomal RNA". It matches the Rfam family "Bacterial small subunit ribosomal RNA", at positions 28 to 507 of the family's 1533-position model. The record is from RNAcentral.